This 458-nucleotide ribosomal RNA is filed under the name uncultured bacterium. RNAcentral's name for it is "partial 16S ribosomal RNA". It matches the Rfam family "Bacterial small subunit ribosomal RNA", at positions 355 to 803 of the family's 1533-position model. The record is from RNAcentral.
UGGGGAAUUUUGGACAAUGGGGGCAACCCUGAUCCAGCAAUGCCGCGUGUGUGAAGAAGGCCUUCGGGUUGUAAAGCACUUUUGUCCGGAAAGAAAACGUCGUGGUUAAUACCCGUGGCGGCUGACGGUACCGGAAGAAUAAGCACCGGCUAACUACGUGCCAGCAGCCGCGGUAAUACGUAGGGUGCAAGCGUUAAUCGGAAUUACUGGGCGUAAAGCGUGCGCAGGCGGUCCGCUAAGACAGAUGUGAAAUCCCCGGGCUUAACCUGGGAACUGCAUUUGUGACUGGCGGGCUAGAGUAUGGCAGAGGGGGGUAGAAUUCCACGUGUAGCAGUGAAAUGCGUAGAGAUGUGGAGGAAUACCGAUGGCGAAGGCAGCCCCCUGGGCCAAUACUGACGCUCAUGCACGAAAGCGUGGGGGAGCAAACAGGAUUCAGAUACCCUGGUAGUCCACGCCCU